RNAcentral lists this ribosomal RNA (385 nucleotides) under uncultured bacterium. Its description in RNAcentral is "bacterial SSU rRNA". It matches the Rfam family "Bacterial small subunit ribosomal RNA", at positions 29 to 414 of the family's 1533-position model. The record is from RNAcentral.
AUUGAACGCUGGCGGCAUGCCUUACACAUGCAAGUCGAACGGCAGCACGGGAGCAAUCCUGGUAGCGAGUGGCGAACGGGUGAGUAAUAUAUCGGAACGUGCCCAGUCGUGGGGGAUAACGUAGCGAAAGCUACGCUAAUACCGCAUACGAUCUACGGAUGAAAGCGGGGGAUCGCAAGACCUCGCGCGAUUGGAGCGGCCGAUAUCAGAUUAGGUAGUUGGUGAGGUAAAGGCUCACCAAGCCGACGAUCUGUAGCUGGUCUGAGAGGACGACCAGCCACACUGGGACUGAGACACGGCCCAGACUCCUACGGGAGGCAGCAGUGGGGAAUUUUGGGACAAUGGGCGCAAGCCUGAUCCAGCAAUGCCGCGUGCAGGAUGAAGG